AGAGUUUGAUCAUGGCUCAGGAUGAACGCUGGCGGCGUGCCUAAUACAUGCAAGUCGAACGAGGUGCUUUUGUAGCAAUACGAGGGUAUCCUAGUGGCGAACGGGUGAGUAACGCGUUGGUGACCUGCCCCAAAGUGUGGGAUAACAGUUCGAAAGGACUGCUAAUACCGCAUGUGGUCAUCGGAUUUAGAAACCGAUGUCUAAAGCAGUAAUGCGCUUUGGGAGGGACCUGCGUCCCAUCAGCUAGUUGGUGAGGUAACGGCCCACCAAGGCGACGACGGGUAGGGGACCUGAGAGGGUGACCCCCCACAAUGGAACUGAAACACGGUCCAUACACCUACGGGUGGCAGCAGUAGGGAAUAUUGCACAAUGGGCGAAAGCCUGAUGCAGCAACGCCGCGUGCACGAAGAAGGUCUUCGGAUCGUAAAGUGCUUUUCUGAGAGAUGAGAAAGGACAGUAUCUCAGGAAUAAGUCUCGGCUAACUACGUGCCAGCAGCCGCGGUAAAACGUAGGAGGCAAGCGUUAUCCGGAUUCACUGGGCGUAAAGCGUGUGCAGGCGGUUCGGUAAGUUGGGCGUGAAAUCUCCCGGCUCAACUGGGAGAGGUCGUUCAAUACUACCGGACUAGAGAGCAGUAGAGGAAGAUGGAAUUCCCGGUGUAGUGGUGAAAUGCGUAGAUAUCGGGAGGAACACCAGUGGCGAAGGCGAUCUUCUGGACUGUUUCUGACGCUCAUACACGAAAGCUAGGGUAGUAAACGGGAUUAGAGACCCCGGUAAUCCUAGCUGUAAACGAUGUGAACUUGGGCGUCGGUGGCUUAAACACUAUCGGG
This 828-nucleotide ribosomal RNA is filed under the name uncultured bacterium. Its description in RNAcentral is "bacterial SSU rRNA". It matches the Rfam family "Bacterial small subunit ribosomal RNA", at positions 8 to 844 of the family's 1533-position model. The record is from RNAcentral.